Molecule: ribosomal RNA, 452 nt
Filed under: uncultured bacterium
Lineage: Bacteria
Description: bacterial SSU rRNA
Rfam family: Bacterial small subunit ribosomal RNA
Source: RNAcentral
AGCGAACGCUGGCGGCAGGCUUAACACAUGCAAGUCGAGCGGGCGUAGCAAUACGUCAGCGGCAGACGGGUGAGUAACGCGUGGGAACGUACCUUUUGGUUCGGAACAACACAGGGAAACUUGUGCUAAUACCGGAUAAGCCCUUACGGGGAAAGAUUUAUCGCCGAAAGAUCGGCCCGCGUCUGAUUAGCUAGUUGGUGUGGUAACGGCGCACCAAGGCGACGAUCAGUAGCUGGUCUGAGAGGAUGAUCAGCCACAUUGGGACUGAGACACGGCCCAAACUCCUACGGGAGGCAGCAGUGGGGAAUAUUGGACAAUGGGCGCAAGCCUGAUCCAGCCAUGCCGCGUGAGUGAUGAAGGCCCUAGGGUUGUAAAGCUCUUUUGUGCGGGAAGAUAAUGACGGUACCGCAAGAAUAAGCCCCGGCUAACUUCGUGCCAGCCGCCGCCGUAAC